GCUCCAAUAGCGUAUAUUAAAGUUGUUGCAGUUAAAAAGCUCGUAGUUGGAUUUCUGGCAGAGGAACUAGGCCGCAUGUUGCGUGUGCAAAGGUUCUCUACCAUCCUUCUGUUAACCUCCUAGUCAUUGAUUUAACUGUUGGGAGCCAGAUAUUACCUUGAGAAAAUUAGAGUGUUUCAGGCAGCUAGCGCCGGAUACAU
RNAcentral lists this ribosomal RNA (200 nucleotides) under uncultured eukaryote. RNAcentral describes it as "partial 18S ribosomal RNA". It matches the Rfam family "Eukaryotic small subunit ribosomal RNA", at positions 588 to 804 of the family's 1831-position model. The record is from RNAcentral.